UUAGGAAUUUUCCACAAUGGGCGCAAGCCUGAUGGAGCAACGCCGCGUGCAGGAUGAAGGCUUUAGGGUUGUAAACUGCUUUUAUAUGUGACGAAUAUGACGGUAGCAUAUGAAUAAGGAUCGGCUAACUCCGUGCCAGCAGCCGCGGUCAUACGGAGGAUCCAAGCGUUAUCCGGAUUUACUGGGCGUAAAGAGUUGCGUAGGUGGUUUGUUAAGUGAAUAGUGAAAUCUUGUGGCUCAACCAUAAGGCUAUUAUUCAAACUGGCAAACUCGAGAAUGGUAGAGGUCACUGGAAUUCCUGGUGUAGGAGUGAAAUCCGUAGAUAUAAGGAGGAACACCAAUGGCGUAGGCAGGUGACUGGCUCAUUUCUGACACUGAGGCACGAAAGCGUGGGGAGCGAACG
This 403-nucleotide ribosomal RNA is filed under the name uncultured prokaryote. Its description in RNAcentral is "bacterial SSU rRNA". It matches the Rfam family "Bacterial small subunit ribosomal RNA", at positions 355 to 774 of the family's 1533-position model. The record is from RNAcentral.